CCGGAGGGGGAAAUCGUCGCCAUCGUCAUCACCAACACUCCUCUCGUCGGUGGGGAGGCAUCUUCAUCAGCACCAUCUCCUCUCCAAUCCCUAGUUCAUCUCUUGUAACCAAUCUUCAUCUCGCAACUCCGAUUGGUACUUGUAAGGUUGCUAGUAGUGUUGAUUACUCUUUGUAGUUGAUGCUAGUUGGAUUACUUGGUGGAAGAGUUUAUGUUCAGAUCCUUGAUGCU
This 230-nucleotide long non-coding RNA is filed under the name Hordeum vulgare. Its description in RNAcentral is "long non-coding RNA (HVUL_LNC003196)". Lineage: Eukaryota; Viridiplantae; Streptophyta; Magnoliopsida; Poales; Poaceae. The record is from RNAcentral.